This 460-nucleotide ribosomal RNA is filed under the name uncultured bacterium. RNAcentral's name for it is "partial 16S ribosomal RNA". It matches the Rfam family "Bacterial small subunit ribosomal RNA", at positions 338 to 795 of the family's 1533-position model. The record is from RNAcentral.
CCUACGGGCGGCAGCAGUGAGGAAUAUUGGUCAAUGGACGAGAGCCUGAACCAGCCAAGUAGCGUGAAGGAUGACUGCCCUAUGGGUUGUAAACUUCUUUUAUAAGGGAAUAAAGUGUUCCACGUGUGGGAUUUUGUAUGUACCUUAUGAAUAAGGAUCGGCUAACUCCGUGCAAGCAGCCGCGGUAAUACGGAGGAUCCGAGCGUUAUCCGGAUUUAUUGGGUUUAAAGGGAGCGUAGGUGGAUUGUUAAGUCAGUUGUGAAAGUUUGCGGCUUAACCGUAAAAUUGCAAUUGAUACUGGCAGUCUUGAGUACAGUAGAGGUGGGCGGAAUUCGUGGUGUAGCGGUGAAAUGCUUAGAUAUCACGAAGAACUCCGAUUGCGAAGGCAGCUCACUAGACUGCCACUGACACUGAGGCUCGAAAGUGUGGGUAUCAAACAGGAUUAGAUACCCGUGUAGUC